GGGAAUACUGGCCUUAACCAGCAGUUCAUUCUUCAGAAUGUUGCCUUUUUGGCUCUGGUUUGUAAAUACAACUAUAAUUUAUCCUUAUUUUGCCCAGCCCCCCAUGAUAAUGGAAUUGGAGCUGGGGCCUUCAUAAAGUGUAUUCUUUUUCCCCACACACACCAUGCUUGGGCUCUAGCAGUGUUCUUCUUUGGUGUAUCUUACAUGAAGGAAAAAGAAUAGGAAAAUGGUCAGGAAGAAGGACAACAUGACACUUCUGUUCAGAUCUGGAUUGCAAGCUCUAAUUCAUUUGAUUAACCAACUAAAGUUGAUUUAUCAGUGCAGCUUAUAGUUACUGGGAUGCAUGUUUAUAGUUCUUUGAUGCUAUUUAGGUUUUGGUGUAUUAGUGUAACAGAAAAUGAAGAAAAAUUUGAAGUUGACCUUCCAACAAUGAGUUUUCCAACACUUGUUUUCAUGAAAUUGUAUUGACACCCAGUACGGUUCCCACUGAAACAUUUUCGUCUUGCUAAAAAGGCACAUUUAGUGAUUGCUUCUCAUGGCAAUACAAUAGGAUUUUGGUAUUUGACUUUCACGCUGAUGUGGCAGUUCUUAAAGAUUGCAUUGGGAAUGUUUCAAUUGCAUCGAGAGAGAAAAUUGUGGAUCAGGAGUUAGCCAGCCUUCCAUGGAGAACAUGCAAGAGUGUAUAUCUCAUUCCCUGGCCCUCAGAUUUUGCCCCUGAAAUGGCUGAAUUACAUUACAUUGGGGCCUUUUCCAGUAUUACGGAAGUAAUAUUGAAAGAAUGCUCUCCCCUGCCAUUCAUUGGCUGACAACCAGACUAAGUUACUCAGUAGUACUAUUCAGGAGUUACUCUACUUAAUUUCAAUGGGAUUUCCAUUGAGUAAUUUAUUGGUUAUGUCAGUAACUGAGUUCCUGUGUCAUUUUUCACUUUUUACUUCAACUGAGCACCUAUUUUUGGCUAUUUAAUUGGUGUUUUAUGAUGUUUUAAUUGUUAAUUAUGA
Hemicordylus capensis (graceful crag lizard) is the source of this 998-nucleotide long non-coding RNA. RefSeq lists it as uncharacterized. NCBI's taxonomy places the organism in Eukaryota, Metazoa, Chordata, Lepidosauria, Squamata, Cordylidae. The transcript is spliced from 3 exons. The record is from RefSeq and is a predicted model, not a curated record.